AGCGAACGCUGGCGGCAGGCCUAACACAUGCAAGUCGAACGAACUCUUCGGAGUUAGUGGCGGACGGGUGAGUAACACGUGGGAACGUGCCUUUUGGUUCGGAAUAACUCAGGGAAACUUGUGCUAAUACCGAAUGUGCCCUUCGGGGGAAAGAUUUAUCGCCAUUAGAGCGGCCCGCGUCUGAUUAGCUAGUUGGUGAGGUAACGGCUCACCAAGGCGACGAUCAGUAGCUGGUCUGAGAGGAUGACCAGCCACACUGGGACUGAGACACGGCCCAGACUCCUACGGGAGGGAGCAGUGGGGGAUCUUGCGCAAUGGGCGAAAGCCUGACGCAGCCAUGCCGCGUGAAUGAUGAAGGUCUUAGGAUUGUAAAAUUCUUUCACCGGGGACGAUAAUGACGGUACCCGGAGAAGAAGCCCCGGCUAACUUCGUG
This 433-nucleotide ribosomal RNA is filed under the name uncultured bacterium. RNAcentral's name for it is "partial 16S ribosomal RNA". It matches the Rfam family "Bacterial small subunit ribosomal RNA", at positions 29 to 507 of the family's 1533-position model. The record is from RNAcentral.